This 897-nucleotide ribosomal RNA is filed under the name uncultured Bacteroidota bacterium. Its description in RNAcentral is "bacterial SSU rRNA". It matches the Rfam family "Bacterial small subunit ribosomal RNA", at positions 9 to 899 of the family's 1533-position model. The record is from RNAcentral. Lineage: Bacteria; Pseudomonadati; Bacteroidota.
GAGUUUGAUCAUGGCUCAGGAUGAACGCUAGCGGCAGGCCUAACACAUGCAAGUCGAGGGGUAACAGGUUUAGUUUACUAAAUGCUGACGACCGGCGCACGGGUGCGUAACGCGUAUGCAACCUACCUAUAACAAGGGGAUAGCUUAGAGAAAUUUGAAUUAAUACCCUAUAAUGUAAUUGACUGGCAUCGGUUAAUUAUUAAAGAUUUAUUUUGGUUAUAGAUGGGCAUGCGUAGCAUUAGCUAGAUGGUGAGGUAAUGGCUCACCAUGGCGACGAUGCUUAGGGGUUCUGAGAGGAAGGUCCCCCACACUGGUACUGAGACAAGGACCAGACUCCUACGGGAGGCAGCAGUGAGGAAUAUUGGUCAAUGGACGGAAGUCUGAACCAGCCAUGCCGCGUGUAGGAAGACUGCCCUAUGGGUUGUAAACUACUUUUAUAUAGGAAGAAAGUUUGUCUUGCGAGAUAAUUUGACGGUACUAUAUGAAUAAGCACCGGCUAACUCCGUGCCAGCAGCCGCGGUAAUACGGAGGGUGCGAGCGUUAUUCGGAUUUAUUGGGUUUAAAGGGUGCGUAGGCUGGAGCAUAAGUUAGUGGUGAAAUUUUUCGGCUCAACCGGAGACGUGCCAUUAAAACUGUGUUUCUUGAAUGUGAUUGAAGUAGGCGGAAUAUAUCAUGUAGCGGUGAAAUGCAUAGAUAUGAUAUAGAACACCGAUAGCGAAGGCAGCUUACUAAGUCAUGAUUGACGCUGAUGCACGAAAGCGUGGGUAUCGAACAGGAUUAGAUACCCUGGUAGUCCACGCUGUAAACGAUGAUCACUAUCUAUUGGGUUUUCGGAUUCAGUGGUAAAGCGAAAGUGUUAAGUGAUCCACCUGGGGGAGUACGAUCGCAAGGUUGAAA